RNAcentral lists this ribosomal RNA (439 nucleotides) under Citrobacter freundii. Its description in RNAcentral is "partial 23S ribosomal RNA". It matches the Rfam family "Bacterial large subunit ribosomal RNA", at positions 2363 to 2801 of the family's 2925-position model. The record is from RNAcentral. Lineage: Bacteria; Pseudomonadati; Pseudomonadota; Gammaproteobacteria; Enterobacterales; Enterobacteriaceae.
GCUAGCUUGACUGCGAGAGUGACGGCUCGAGCAGGUGCGAAAGCAGGUCUUAGUGAUCCGGUGGUUCUGAAUGGAAGGGCCAUCGCUCAACGGAUAAAAGGUACUCCGGGGAUAACAGGCUGAUACCGCCCAAGAGUUCAUAUCGACGGCGGUGUUUGGCACCUCGAUGUCGGCUCAUCACAUCCUGGGGCUGAAGUAGGUCCCAAGGGUAUGGCUGUUCGCCAUUUAAAGUGGUACGCGAGCUGGGUUUAGAACGUCGUGAGACAGUUCGGUCCCUAUCUGCCGUGGGCGCUGGAGAAUUGAGGGGGGCUGCUCCUAGUACGAGAGGACCGGAGUGGACGCAUCACUGGUGUUCGGGUUGUCAUGCCAAUGGCAUUGCCCGGUAGCUAAAUGCGGAAGAGAUAAGUGCUGAAAGCAUCUAAGCACGAAACUUGCCCCG